UACAGAGGUGGCAAGCGUUGUUCGGAAUUACUGGGCGUAAAGGGCGCGUAGGCGGUCUUUUAAGUCUUGUGUGAAAUCCCUCGGCUCAACUGAGGAACUGCACGGGAUACUGGAAGACUUGAGUUCGGGAGGGGGAAGCGGAAUUCCGGGUGUAGCGGUGAAAUGCGUAGAUAUCCGGAGGAACACCGGUGGCGAAGGCGGCUUCCUGGACCGAUUACUGACGCUGAGGCGCGAAAGCUAGGGGAGCAAACGGG
This 254-nucleotide ribosomal RNA is filed under the name uncultured bacterium. RNAcentral's name for it is "partial 16S ribosomal RNA". It matches the Rfam family "Bacterial small subunit ribosomal RNA", at positions 524 to 776 of the family's 1533-position model. The record is from RNAcentral.